GGCUGGUUAGCUCAGUUGGUUAGAGUGUGGUGCUGAUAACACCAAGGUCAAAGGUUCAGAUUCCCAUACAAGCCA
Non-coding RNA from Galeopterus variegatus (Sunda flying lemur), 75 nucleotides. Lineage: Eukaryota; Metazoa; Chordata; Mammalia; Dermoptera; Cynocephalidae. The record is from the annotation of a RefSeq genome assembly.